Molecule: ribosomal RNA, 468 nt
Filed under: uncultured bacterium
Lineage: Bacteria
Description: partial 16S ribosomal RNA
Rfam family: Bacterial small subunit ribosomal RNA
Source: RNAcentral
GACGAACGCUGGCGGCGGGCUUAACACAUGCAAGUCGAACGGAAAGGCCCGGCUUGUGUGCGGUGCUCGAGGGGCGAACGGGUGCGGAACACGUGAGUGUACUGCCCUUGACUCUGGGUUAGCGACAAGAAACUGGGGCUAAUACCAGAUAGGAACGCCUGCUGCAGGGGGGGGGUUGGAAAGAUUCGGCGGUUGAGGAUGGACUCGCGGCGUAGCGGCUGGUUGGUGGGGUCGUGGCUUACCAAGGCUUCGACGGGUAGCCGGCCUGAGAGGGUGACCGGCCACCUUGCCACUGACCUACGGCCCGCAGCACUGCGGGAGGCUGCAGUGUGGGAUAUUGCACGAUGGGCCGAAGCCUCGUGCAGCAACGCCGCGUGCGGGAUGGCGGCCUUCUGUUUGGAGGCCGUUUUCGCCUGUGCCGAAGCGUCAUUGCCGGUAAUGGGUAAAGAAGCACCGGCUAACUCCGUG